Molecule: ribosomal RNA, 408 nt
Filed under: uncultured bacterium
Lineage: Bacteria
Description: partial 16S ribosomal RNA
Rfam family: Bacterial small subunit ribosomal RNA
Source: RNAcentral
GACGAACGCUGGCGGCGUGCUUAACACAUGCAAGUCGAAGAUAGUGGCGAACGGGUGAGUAAUACGUGGGUAACCUGCCCUCCUUUUUGGGAUAAGCCUUGGAAACUGGGUCUAAUACUGGAUGGAUUGGGAUGGGCUCGCGGCUUCUCAGCUUGUUAGCGGGGUGAUGGCUUACCAAGGCAGUGACGGGUAGCCGGCCUGAGAAGAUAGACGGUCACGCAGGAACUGAGGUACGCCCCAGACUCCUACGGGGGGGAGCAGUUGGGGAUAUUGGAGAAUGGACGGAAGACUGAUGCAGCGACGUCGUGUGGGGGAUGAAGGCCUUCGGGUUGUAAACUCCUUUCGCCCGCGGAAUGGUAGUGGGUAAAGAAGCGCCGGCUAACUACGUGCCAGCAGCCGCGGUAAUAC